This is a long non-coding RNA of Glycine soja, 618 nucleotides long. RefSeq lists it as uncharacterized. The transcript has 3 exons. Lineage: Eukaryota; Viridiplantae; Streptophyta; Magnoliopsida; Fabales; Fabaceae. The record is from RefSeq and is a predicted model, not a curated record.
AGCCUCUGCACACCAGAAGGAUGAUGAAUUUAUUGAAUUGAUAAAUAAUAUUGACAGAAUACGGCAUGCAAAUGUUGUUGAGCUUGUUGGAUAUUGUUCAGAGCAUGAUCAAAAGGCUUCUAAUCUAUGAGUACUACAGUAAUCAUUGUAUGAUGCACUCCACUCAGAUGAUGACUUCAAAACAAGACUCUCAUGGAAUUCUCGUAUUCGAAUCUCACUUGGGGCAGCUAGAGCCUUAGAUGUGGUUGUUCUUCUGGAAUCAUGAGGUAUGAUAGAAGAUGGUCUUGAAGUAGCUACUGACCCUGACUACAGAUUUGAUCUAGCAAUACACCUUGGAAAAGUAGAUGUUGCAAAGAGUAUUGCAAUAGAAUUGCGGAGCGAGCAGCAAUUGGGAGAAUUAACUAUGUCUACUGGAAAGGUGUUUUCUAUGUGAUUUGAAUCUUCAGCUGUAUUUAUGUAUAUGUUCUUUGUGUAAAGCUUGAUUGCACUCCUAAAUAUCCAUAGUCAAGUGUAUUAUACAUUUCGGUGAUGGUGUGCUAUUGAAUUUGACCGUGUGCACAUGAUGUAUAUAGAUCUUAUUGAAGCUUUUGAUAUGCAAGAGAUUAUACAGGUUUUACU